RNA transcript from Hydra vulgaris (swiftwater hydra), 427 nucleotides. It is a transcript of the gene named ubiquinol-cytochrome c reductase, complex III subunit XI, with no coding region annotated. NCBI's taxonomy places the organism in Eukaryota, Metazoa, Cnidaria, Hydrozoa, Anthoathecata, Hydridae. The record is from RefSeq and is a predicted model, not a curated record.
GAUAGGAUCGGUAAAUUUGUUAUACGCUACCGGGCUCGUAUUCCGCCAUAUUUAAAUUUUUAAAAUUGUUGCUCCUUAUCUGUGCUUGUUUCCAACAAGUGCCCUUUUAAAUGUCGGGAUCAUUGAGAAGUUCUUUUUUGGAGCUGUAUGGAAUCGCUAGAAUUACAUCACAAAAAGGAAAGAGUUGGGUUCCAACUUUGAUUUCAUGGGGAACUGGUGCUUCUUUACUUGGAUUAUAUUUAACAGAUUGGAGAGUUAUCACAAGCUAUAUUCCUUUCUAUAAAGGCAAAUAUCAACAUGUUAUUCCGAAAUGACCGAACUAAUUAUAGAACAUUAAAGAUCGACAUCUUUCAAAAUGAAUGGUGAAUGAAGUGUUUGACUUCAUUUUGUUUAUAUAGUGGAAAUAUACAUUAAGUUUCAAACUAAA